Myxocyprinus asiaticus (Chinese sucker) is the source of this 1303-nucleotide long non-coding RNA. RefSeq lists it as uncharacterized. The transcript is spliced from 3 exons. The record is from RefSeq and is a predicted model, not a curated record. Lineage: Eukaryota; Metazoa; Chordata; Actinopteri; Cypriniformes; Catostomidae.
ACAGUGAGCACAGUUGCAAAGUUCCUAAGCAACUUAAUCCUGUGUCAGCGAACAGGGGGGUUUCAAAGAUCAGCCAAGGUUGAGAAGACAUGUCACACGUCAGUCAACCCAAAUUUAUGACUAAGAACAGAAUGAGGGACAGCGCAAACCAGGGAAAAGAAACAUGGACACUGGACCCUACCAAGAAAACAGAAAAUGAGCUGUUAAUGUAGAAAAUCUCAGUGGUGGAGAAUGCGGGCACUUUUGUGGGCAAAGACGGCACAGUUGGGCGCCAACAGUUACGUCACUCUUCCUCUCAUUUGCCGGUUCGAUGGAAAGCCUGGAGUGGGACGGAGAGAACACGAGGACGGCCUCCCAGCUGCAGCAAAGGGUAAGUGGCACUUAAUAAGCAUUUACCCUGUAGCUGGCUGAGGCUGUCAUAUUAAUUCGUGUUUUUUCUCUGUUCCCACCUGGGCACGAGUGAGAGGAGGAGUUGGCCCAGAGAGGUAUCCCUCUUAUGUCCACUCUGACCGUAGGGCCUGGUUGAGGAAGUAGCAUUCCCGUGUGGACGGCUAAAGAGUGUGCACCUCCGGCUUUGGAUUCCAUGAUUGGAUGUGAGCGUGGUGCUGAUGGGGUGACGCUUGGGGGUAGGGGGGAUAUGUGGCGGAAUGAUCGUCAUCGUCGCCCCACCUCUUAGGGCCACCCUUCAGCCAGGCUCAUGACGGGAGUUGGGCGGGAGAGCGAGAAGAGGUGCAUAAUUAUUAAGCCUCGUUUGGUCAGCGGUGAAUGAAGCACAUCUGAUGGGGAUAAUGCUUCAUCACCGCUGUCUUUAAAACACAGUGCGCACCUCUUCUCGGGGAGCCGGCUUCAAAUCUCCACGUGCACACACUGGCAUCCUCGCAUGCCCAGGACCAGAGCUGGGAGGGUUCAGAGAUGGUGUGCUGCCGGACCCGUUCCUCGGACCCCCAGAUGCGUUAAUGAGUUGAUGGGGGUGAACAGCUCACGUUGCCGCCGAUGGGCUAGAUGCCGGGCCGCCUUCCCCUCACGCUUGCCGCGGGCCUGGGAAGACAGACCGCCAGUGACGCCACCACCCCUCGCGCCGUAGACUUUGGAGGGGAGCGUGAGCGGCCGACUGACCCAGCCCAUGCCUGGGCUAUCCUACGGACACUACCCCGCCCUUUCAUGGAGCCCCGUUCACCGCGAGGAUGCCAGAUUGCCCCUUUUAUUAUGAACACUAUUCCCCCUUGGACACUUUAUUACCCCUUUUGUACAUUUUUAUGUUUAUUAUUGUUUCCAAUAAAUGCCUCUCCGAGGCUUGACGCCA